AAACCAACAGGGAUUGCCUUAGUAACGGCGAGUGAAGCGGCAACAGCUCAAAUUUGAAAUCUGGCUCUUUUAGGGUCCGAGUUGUAAUUUGCAGAGGGCGCUUUGGCUUUGGCAGCGGUCCAAGUUCCUUGGAACAGGACGUCACAGAGGGUGAGAAUCCCGUACGUGGUCGCUAGCUAUUGCCGUGUAAAGCCCCUUCGACGAGUCGAGUUGUUUGGGAAUGCAGCUCUAAAUGGGAGGUAAAUUUCUUCUAAAGCUAAAUAUUGGCCAGAGACCGAUAGCGCACAAGUAGAGUGAUCGAAAGAUGAAAAGCACUUUGGAAAGAGAGUCAAACAGCACGUGAAAUUGUUGAAAGGGAAGCGCUUGCAGCCAGACUUGCUUGCAGUUGCUCAUCCGGGCUUUUGCCCGGUGCACUCUUCUGCAGGCAGGCCAGCAUCAGUUUGGGCGGUGGGAUAAAGGUCUCUGACACGUUCCUUCCUUCGGGUUGGCCAUAUAGGGGA
Molecule: ribosomal RNA, 500 nt
Filed under: Curvularia cymbopogonis
Lineage: Eukaryota; Fungi; Ascomycota; Dothideomycetes; Pleosporales; Pleosporaceae
Description: LSU rRNA
Rfam family: Eukaryotic large subunit ribosomal RNA
Source: RNAcentral